AACCUUCACAAUGUGGGAAACCACGAUGAGGGAACUCCAAGUGCCAGCACCUAGUGUUGGCUUUUCACCUGUGUAAAGAGCAGGUGGAAUAAGGGCCGGGUAAGACGGGUGCCAGCCGCCGCGGUAACACCCGCGGCCCGAGUGGUGACCAUUUUUAUUGAGCUUAAAGCGUCCGUAGCCGGUCUGGUAAAUCUCUGGGUAAAUCGGACGGCUUAACCGUUCGAAUUCCAGGGAAACUGCUAGACUUGGGGCCGGGAGAAGCUAGAGGUACUCCAGGGGAAGAAGUAAAAUUCUGUAAUCCUUGGAGGACCACCAGUGGCGAAAGCGUCUAGCUAGAACGGACCCGACGGUGAGGGACGAAGCCCUGGGGCGCGAACCGGAUUAGAUACCCGGGUAGUCCAGGGUGUAAACGAUGUGGGCUUGGUGUCGGAAGUCCUACGCGGGCAUCCGGUGCCGUAGAUAAAUUGUUAAGCCCACCGCUUGGGAAGUACGUGCGCAAGCAUGAAACUUAA
Molecule: ribosomal RNA, 512 nt
Filed under: uncultured archaeon
Lineage: Archaea
Description: bacterial SSU rRNA
Rfam family: Archaeal small subunit ribosomal RNA
Source: RNAcentral